GAUGAACGCUGGCGGCGUGCUUAACACAUGCAAGUCGAACGGAAAGGCUCCUGCUUGCAGGGGUACUCGAGUGGCGAACGGGUGAGUAACACGUGGGUGAUCUGCCCUGCACUUCGGGAUAAGCCUGGGAAACUGGGUCUAAUACCGGAUAGGACGAUGGUUUGGAUGCCAUUGUGGAAAGUUUUUCGGUGUGGGAUGAGCUCGCGGCCUAUCAGCUUGUUGGUGGGGUAAUGGCCUACCAAGGCGUCGACGGGUAGCCGGCCUGAGAGGGUGUACGGCCACAGUGGGACUGAGAUACGGCCCAGACGCCUACGGGAGGCAGGAGUGGGGAAUAUUGCACAAUGGGCGCAAGCCUGAUGCAGCGACGCCGGGUGGGGGAUGACGGCCUUCGGGUUGUAAACUCCUUUCGCUAGGGACGAAGCGCAAGUGACGGUACCUGGAGAAGAAGCACCGGCUAACUACGU
RNAcentral lists this ribosomal RNA (464 nucleotides) under uncultured bacterium. Its description in RNAcentral is "partial 16S ribosomal RNA". It matches the Rfam family "Bacterial small subunit ribosomal RNA", at positions 28 to 506 of the family's 1533-position model. The record is from RNAcentral.